This 22-nucleotide non-coding RNA is filed under the name Arabidopsis thaliana (thale cress). The record is from RNAcentral. Lineage: Eukaryota; Viridiplantae; Streptophyta; Magnoliopsida; Brassicales; Brassicaceae.
UCACAUAGUCGUUGUUUUACGA